UACGUAGGGGGCUAGCGUUGUCCGGAAUCAUUGGGCGUAAAGAGCGUGUAGGCGGUUCGAUCAGUCCGCUGUAAAAGUCAGGGGCUCAACCCUUGAAAGCCGGUGGAUACUGUCGGGCUAGAGUGCGGAAGAGGCGAGUGGAAUUCCUGGUGUAGCGGUGAAAUGCGCAGAUAUCAGGAGGAACACCAAUUGCGAAGGCAGCUCGCUGGGACGUUACUGACGCUGAGACGCGAAAGCGUGGGGAGCAAACAGG
RNAcentral lists this ribosomal RNA (253 nucleotides) under uncultured prokaryote. RNAcentral describes it as "partial 16S ribosomal RNA". It matches the Rfam family "Bacterial small subunit ribosomal RNA", at positions 524 to 776 of the family's 1533-position model. The record is from RNAcentral.